RNAcentral lists this long non-coding RNA (402 nucleotides) under Brachypodium distachyon (stiff brome). RNAcentral's name for it is "long non-coding RNA (BDIS_LNC003996)". Lineage: Eukaryota; Viridiplantae; Streptophyta; Magnoliopsida; Poales; Poaceae. The record is from RNAcentral.
AACCGGCAUUUUUUUUUUCAAGUACUAGGGGCAGCCCCCGCCCGACCCCGUCCACCUGGCUCUUCUAAUCUUGACGGCUUGACGCAUCUUCAGUCUUCAUCCAGGGAGAGAGGCUGUCCGGUUUUGUGGUCCGAGGGAGAGAGGAGUGGAAGUAUGAGUGUGAGCUGUAUGCAUGGCAUGGCGCUGCUCGCAUUCACGUGGAUACAGCAGAGGUUAAUGCAUGCUUUCUGAUCAACCCCUUGGUUAACUUUUGUCAAAUCAACACGGCGAUACUAGUACAGUUCGACAGCAUUAAUUCGACACAUAUAUACGCUAUUUUUUUAAUGGAAGCAUAUAUACGCUAAUUAAGACGUACGUACACUUUAUGUCGUAUUUAGUGUUAUAUAUAUGCAUGGAAUGUGU